This 1101-nucleotide long non-coding RNA is filed under the name Parus major (Great Tit). RNAcentral's name for it is "lncRNA (ENSPMJG00000001608.1)". The record is from RNAcentral. Lineage: Eukaryota; Metazoa; Chordata; Aves; Passeriformes; Paridae.
GACCUGGCCUACUCAGGACAAGCAUCUGUGACUGAGCACAGUGAAACAUCUCAUGAGUCAAUUUGGGAAUGGAACUGUAGCGGAGAAGAGGGUUCCCAAGAAUUGUUUCGGCAGAUUUAGUACUGCAGCGUCUAAUUGUUGUACCAGUUUUCUGGCUCCCAGCCCAUCUAAACAUACAGGUAACAAUUUGGUGAGCCAGCCUAAACCAGGAGUGAAGGUUUUACACUGAAAUGUGAGUCCUUGACCUGGGAGAACUGAAAUACAGAUGUAAUUUCCAUUCUGUCGUCCUGGCUAGGAAAUGGACUAACCUACAGCUGGUAAGGAGAAAUGGGCAGGUGGGGAUAGUAAUGUCCAAAACUCCUGCAGCUAAAUAUGAUAUAGCUAAUCUGUCGGAGUCCUAAAUCCUCAGCUGAAGCCGUCACAGAGAGGCAGCCUGUGCAAAACACUCUGGUCAGAACCAAGGAAAAGUUGGGGUUACUCUAUGCAGUCCAGUCAGCCACAUUUCAAAUUUAUUAAGGCAAGUAGAUCAUCAAAGGAGCCAAAUCUUAUUUUUUUUGGGAUGGCAAAAGGAUUAGAAAAGGAUGCAAAAGGGGACCUAAAACUUUGAACCCUUCACCAGGAAGACACAACUAGAAAUUCACUUAUCUGCCUGACCAGUAUGGUCAUAUUGCUUUGAUAUCUGAAACCAGGCAAAAAACAAAUAUGUAACAUGAUAAAUAGCUGGAUUUUUUAAAACUUCCUGAUGCUGAAAGAUGCCAGUUUGUUCAUGAAAGUUAUCUGCCUUAUGCUACCUUCUAACAUGUCAGUUUUCCCUCCAGAUGAAAGAACAAGUGAACUAGAACAGAGGGAAGAGUUUCACAGCUCUUGAAAUCCAAUAUCUCUUACUUUAUAUUGCUAGUUUGGGGUGGAGAAAAUUAAGUGGUUCAAUUUACAAUUAUAAUUUCUCCUUAAUUAUGCCUUUCCUCCACAGUUCUUACAUACAACAUAUAUCUUUCACAGAAACCUAAAGAGUAUUGCACAGUCUAGCUCUAGUAUUGCUGCCACUUGUUUUGACAGAUUGAUCAAAAUAAAUACAGAGAACAGAAAAAGGCGGUGAGUUUU